RNAcentral lists this transfer RNA (77 nucleotides) under Promethearchaeota archaeon. RNAcentral describes it as "Candidatus Lokiarchaeota archaeon (microbial mat metagenome) tRNA-Gly". It matches the Rfam family "tRNA". From Rfam's summary of the family: Transfer RNA (tRNA) molecules are approximately 80 nucleotides in length. Their secondary structure includes four short double-helical elements and three loops (D, anti-codon, and T loops). Lineage: Archaea; Promethearchaeati; Promethearchaeota. The record is from RNAcentral.
GCGUCCAUAAUCCAGUCUGGCUAAGAUAUCUGCCUGCCACGCAGACGACUCGGGUUCAAAUCCCGAUGGACGCACCA